AGAGUUUGAUCCUGGCUCAGAACGAACACUGGCGGCGUGCCUAAUACAUGCAAGUCGAACGGGAAAGUGUCAUUCGUGGCAUGAGUACAGUGGCGAACGGGUGAGUAACGCGUAAACAAUCUGCCCUUCAGUUGGGGAUAACACUGCCAACGCGGUGCUAAUACCGAAUAACAUUAUUUGUUCACAUGAAUAGAUGAUAAAAGAUGGUUUCAUCACUGAAGGAUGAGUUUGCGUCUGAUUAGCUAGUUGGCGAGGUAAUGGCUCACCAAGGCGACGAUCAGUAGCCGGCCUGAGAGGGUGUACGGCCACAUUGGGACUGAGAUACGGCCCAGACUCCUACGGGAGGCAGCAGUAGGGAAUUUUGCGCAAUGGACGCAAGUCUGACGCAGCAACGCCGCGUGAGUGAUGAAGGUCUUCGGAUCGUAAAGCUCUGUCAGGAGGGAAGAACCUAUGCUAUUAAUACCAGCAUACUGACGGUACCUCCAAAGGAAGCUCCGGCUAACUUCGUGCCAGCAGCCGCGGUAAUACGAGGGGAGCUAGUGUUGUUCGGAUUUACUGGGCGUAAAGGGAGUGUAGGCGGGGAUCUAAGUCAGAGGUGAAAUUUCGGGGCUCAACCCUGAACUUGCCUUCGAUACUGGGUCUCCUGAGUAUGGAAGAGGUCGAUGGAAUUCCUGGUGUAGCGGUGGAAUGCGUAGAUAUCAGGAGGAACGCCAAUAGCGAAAGCAGUCGACUGGUACAAUACUGACGCUGAAACUCGAAAGCAUGGGGAGCAAACAGGAUUAGAUACCCUGGUAGUCCAUGCCCUAAACUAUGAAUACUAGAUAUCGGAGGAGUUAACCCCUUCGGUGUCGUAGCUAACGCGUUAAGUAUUUCGCCUGGGGAGUACGCUCGCAAGGGUGAAACUCAAAGAAAUUGACGGGGGCCCGCACAAGCGGUGGAGCAUGUGGUUCAAUUCGAUGGUACGCGAAGAACCUUACCUGGAUUUGACAUGGGAGUGCCGCAGGCAGAGAUGUCUGUUUUUCGCAAGAAACACUCUACACAGGUGCUGCAUGGCUGUCGUCAGCUCGUGUCGUGAGAUGUUGGGUUAAGUCCCGCAACGAGCGCAACCCUUGUCCAGUGUUACUAACGGGUUAUGCCGAGGACUCACUGGAGACUGCCUCAUUCUAAGAGGAGGAAGGUGGGGAUGACGUCAAGUCCUCAUGGCCCUUACAUCCAGGGCUACACACGUGCUACAAUGGCAGGUACAGAGAGUCGCAAUACCGCGAGGUGGAGCCAAUCUCAAAAAGCCUGUCUCAGUUCGGAUUGGAGUCUGCAACUCGACUCCAUGAAGCUGGAAUCGCUAGUAAUCGCGGAUCAGCUACGCCGCGGUGAAUACGUUAUCGGGCCUUGUACACACCGCCCGUC
Molecule: ribosomal RNA, 1404 nt
Filed under: uncultured bacterium
Lineage: Bacteria
Description: bacterial SSU rRNA
Rfam family: Bacterial small subunit ribosomal RNA
Source: RNAcentral